GAAGUUAGAUGAGUGGAAGUCAGCAAGUGAGUACAAUAGAAGUUUCUAAAGAUGGCUUUUGAAAAUUCUACUUAAAACACUGCUAUCAACAGAAUGACCAAUGUUCGUUCUUCAUAUCUCAAGUUGGUGACCG
RNAcentral lists this long non-coding RNA (133 nucleotides) under Capra hircus (goat). Its description in RNAcentral is "lncRNA (ENSCHIG00000007380.1)". The record is from RNAcentral. Lineage: Eukaryota; Metazoa; Chordata; Mammalia; Artiodactyla; Bovidae.